RNAcentral lists this ribosomal RNA (465 nucleotides) under uncultured Klebsiella sp. RNAcentral describes it as "bacterial SSU rRNA". It matches the Rfam family "Bacterial small subunit ribosomal RNA", at positions 338 to 795 of the family's 1533-position model. The record is from RNAcentral. Lineage: Bacteria; Pseudomonadati; Pseudomonadota; Gammaproteobacteria; Enterobacterales; Enterobacteriaceae.
CCUACGGGUGGCUGCAGUGAGGAAUAUUGCACAAUGGGCGCAAGCCUGAUGCAGCCAUGCCGCGUGUGUGAAGAAGGCCUUCGGGUUGUAAAGCACUUUCAGCGGGGAGGAAGGCGGUGAGGUUAAUAACCUCAUCGAUUGACGUUACCCGCAGAAGAAGCACCGGCUAACUCCGUGCCAGCAGCCGCGGUAAUACGGAGGGUGCAAGCGUUAAUCGGAAUUACUGGGCGUAAAGCGCACGCAGGCGGUCUGUCAAGUCGGAUGUGAAAUCCCCGGGCUCAACCUGGGAACUGCAUUCGAAACUGGCAGGCUAGAGUCUUGUAGAGGGGGGUAGAAUUCCAGGUGUAGCGGUGAAAUGCGUAGAGAUCUGGAGGAAUACCGGUGGCGAAGGCGGCCCCCUGGACAAAGACUGACGCUCAGGUGCGAAAGCGUGGGGAGCAAACAGGAUUAGAUACCCUUGUAGUC